Molecule: ribosomal RNA, 234 nt
Filed under: Serratia marcescens
Lineage: Bacteria; Pseudomonadati; Pseudomonadota; Gammaproteobacteria; Enterobacterales; Yersiniaceae
Also listed under: 2 other names
Description: partial 23S ribosomal RNA
Rfam family: Bacterial large subunit ribosomal RNA
Source: RNAcentral
GUGAACGCACCACUGGUGUUCGGGUUGUCAUGCCAAUGGCAUUGCCCGGUAGCUAAGUGCGGAAAAGAUAAGCGCUGAAAGCAUCUAAGCGCGAAACUUGCCUCAAGAUGAGUCUUCCCUGGGCCUUCAAGGCCCCUGAAGGAACGUUUAAGACUAAGACGUUGAUAGGCUGGGUGUGUAAGUGCAGCGAUGCAUUGAGCUAACCAGUACUAAUGAUCCGUGAGGCUUAACCUU